AGAGUUUGAUCAUGGCUCAGAACGAACGCUGGCGGCGUGCUUAACACAUGCAAGUCGCGUGCGCAGUUUCCGUAGCAAUACGGGGAUGGGCGCACGGCGCACGGGUGCGUAACACGUGGGCAAUCUGCCCUCCGAUGGGGAAUACCCCCGCGAAAGCGGGACUAAUUCCGCAUAACAUUCCUUGGAUUAAGUUUCGAGGAUUCAAAGCAGCAAUGCGUCGGAGGAGGAGCCCGCGCCCGAUUAGCUAGUUGGUGAGGUAACGGCUCACCAAGGCAAUGAUCGGUAGCUGGUCUGAGAGGAUGGCCAGCCACACUGGAACUGAGACACGGUCCAGACUCCUACGGGAGGCAGCAGUGGGGAAUCUUGCACAAUGGGCGAAAGCCUGAUGCAGCGACGCCGCGUGGGGGAUGAAGCUUUUCGGAGUGUAAACCCCUUUCGACUGGGACGAAUGCCUCGCAAGAGGAGUGACGGUACCAGUAUAAGAAGCCCCGGCUAACUACGUGCCAGCAGCCGCGGUAAGACGUAGGGGGCCAGCGUUGUUCGGAAUUACUGGGUGUAAAGGGUUCGUAGGCGGUGUGGCAAGUCGGGAGUGAAAUCUCUGGGCUCAACCCAGAGACUGCUUCCGAAACUGCUGUGCUUGAGUGUGAGAGAGGCUCGUGGAAUUGCAGGUGUAGCGGUGAAAUGCGUAGAUAUCUGCAGGAACACCCGUGGCGAAAGCGGCGAGCUGGAUCACUACUGACGCUGAGGAACGAAAGCUAGGGGAGCAAACAGGAUUAGAUACCCUGGUAGUCC
RNAcentral lists this ribosomal RNA (792 nucleotides) under uncultured bacterium. RNAcentral's name for it is "bacterial SSU rRNA". It matches the Rfam family "Bacterial small subunit ribosomal RNA", at positions 8 to 796 of the family's 1533-position model. The record is from RNAcentral.